RNAcentral lists this transfer RNA (84 nucleotides) under Clostridia bacterium. Its description in RNAcentral is "tRNA-Leu". It matches the Rfam family "tRNA". Rfam says of the family: Transfer RNA (tRNA) molecules are approximately 80 nucleotides in length. Their secondary structure includes four short double-helical elements and three loops (D, anti-codon, and T loops). The record is from RNAcentral. Lineage: Bacteria; Bacillati; Bacillota; Clostridia.
GCGAGAGUGGCGGAACUGGCAGACGCGCACGUUUGAGGGGCGUGUGGAUUCUCCGUACGGGUUCAAGUCCCGUCUCUCGCACCA